GGGCCUGUAGUUCAAUGGAUAGAACGACGGUUUCCGGUACCGUAGAUCGGGGUUCGAUUCCCUGUGGGCCUACCA
RNAcentral lists this transfer RNA (75 nucleotides) under Roseibacillus ishigakijimensis. RNAcentral's name for it is "tRNA-Arg". It matches the Rfam family "tRNA". Rfam says of the family: Transfer RNA (tRNA) molecules are approximately 80 nucleotides in length. Their secondary structure includes four short double-helical elements and three loops (D, anti-codon, and T loops). The record is from RNAcentral. RNAcentral also lists the same sequence under 1 other name. Lineage: Bacteria; Pseudomonadati; Verrucomicrobiota; Verrucomicrobiia; Verrucomicrobiales; Verrucomicrobiaceae.